This 74-nucleotide transfer RNA is filed under the name Candidatus Campbelliibacteriota bacterium. RNAcentral describes it as "Candidatus Campbellbacteria bacterium tRNA-Lys". It matches the Rfam family "tRNA". Rfam says of the family: Transfer RNA (tRNA) molecules are approximately 80 nucleotides in length. Their secondary structure includes four short double-helical elements and three loops (D, anti-codon, and T loops). Lineage: Bacteria; Candidatus Campbelliibacteriota. The record is from RNAcentral.
CCGCCCAUAGCUCAAUUUGGCAGAGCAGCUCCCUCUUAAGGAGACGGUUCUAGGUUCAAGUCCUAGUGGGCGGA